RNAcentral lists this ribosomal RNA (218 nucleotides) under uncultured bacterium. RNAcentral describes it as "partial 16S ribosomal RNA". It matches the Rfam family "Bacterial small subunit ribosomal RNA", at positions 111 to 334 of the family's 1533-position model. The record is from RNAcentral.
UAAUGUCUGGGAAACUGCCUGAUGAGGGGGAGUAACUACUGGAAACGGUAGCUAAUACCGCAUAAUGUCGCAAGACCAAAUGGGGACCUUCGGGCCUCAUGCCAUCAGAUGUGCCCAGAUGGGAUUAGCUAGUAGGUGGGGUAACGGCUCACCUAGGCGACGAUCCCUAGCUGGUCUGAGAGGAUGACCAGCCACACUGGAACUGAGACACGGUCCAG